RNAcentral lists this long non-coding RNA (349 nucleotides) under Elaeis guineensis (African oil palm). Its description in RNAcentral is "long non-coding RNA (EGUI_LNC035625)". Lineage: Eukaryota; Viridiplantae; Streptophyta; Magnoliopsida; Arecales; Arecaceae. The record is from RNAcentral.
GGUCUUCCAUCGCCACCAUUGGGAGAAGAAAAAUGGCAUGUCCCUUAUUUUAGAGAAGAAGAGAGGGGUCAACUUUCUCUCUUCCCUCCUUUCUCUCUCUUCUCUCUCUUGCUCUCUUUCCUCUUCCUUUUUUGUCUCUUUAUUCUCUCUACAUCGUAUAUUGGAUCCAAUUGAGGGUCCGAGAUUCUUAAUUUACGGACCUCAGGUUAACCCUGGUGAAGAGUUUUAGAUCGAAAUUAUAGGUGAUACCAUCUUGUCGAUCUAUAUCUUAGUUUUUGUUGGUUAUCCAUAGAUCCACUAUUGGCAAUCCUUGACUUAUUACCUUUGCCUUGAUUGAACCAUUUGUUUA